UAGGGAAUCUUCGGCAAUGGGGGGAACCCUGACCGAGCAACGCCGCGUGAGUGAAGAAGGUUUUCGGAUCGUAAAGCUCUGUUGUUAAGGAAGAACGAGUGUGAGAAUGGAAAGUUCAUACUGUGACGGUACUUAACCAGAAAGGGACGGCUAACUACGUGCCAGCAGCCGCGGUAAUACGUAGGUCCCGAGCGUUGUCCGGAUUUAUUGGGCGUAAAGCGAGCGCAGGCGGUUAGAUAAGUCUGAAGUUAAAGGCAGUGGCUCAACCAUUGUAGGCUUUGGAAACUGUUUAACUUGAGUGCAGAAGGGGAGAGUGGAAUUCCAUGUGUAGCGGUGAAAUGCGUAGAUAUAUGGAGGAACACCGGUGGCGAAAGCUGCUCUCUGGUCUGUAACUGACGCUGAGGCUCGAAAGCGUGGGGAGCGAACAGG
RNAcentral lists this ribosomal RNA (429 nucleotides) under Bacteroidota bacterium. Its description in RNAcentral is "Bacteroidetes bacterium partial 16S ribosomal RNA". It matches the Rfam family "Bacterial small subunit ribosomal RNA", at positions 355 to 776 of the family's 1533-position model. The record is from RNAcentral. Lineage: Bacteria; Pseudomonadati; Bacteroidota.